This 418-nucleotide ribosomal RNA is filed under the name uncultured archaeon. RNAcentral describes it as "bacterial SSU rRNA". It matches the Rfam family "Archaeal small subunit ribosomal RNA", at positions 586 to 997 of the family's 1478-position model. The record is from RNAcentral.
GCCAGACUUGGAACCGGGAGAGGUAAGAGGUACUACAGGGGUAGGAGUCGAAAUCUUGUAAAUCCCUGUGGGGACCACCUGUGGCGAAGGCGUCUUACCAGAACGGGUUCGACGGUGAGGGACGAAAGCUGGGGGCACGAACCGGAUUAGAUACCCGGGUAGUCCCAGCCGUAAACGAUGCUCGCUAGGUGUCAGGCAUGGCGCGACCGUGUCUGGUGCCGCAGGGAAGCCGUGAAGCGAGCCACCUGGGAAGUACGGCCGCAAGGCUGAAACUUAAAGGAAUUGGCGGGGGAGCACAACAACGGGUGGAAGCCUGCGGUUUAAUUGGACUCAAACGCCGGACAACUCACCGGGGGACGACAGCAAUAUGUAGGCCAAGCUGAAGACUUUGCCUGAAUCGCUGAGGGGAGGUGCAUGG